Molecule: ribosomal RNA, 469 nt
Filed under: uncultured bacterium
Lineage: Bacteria
Description: partial 16S ribosomal RNA
Rfam family: Bacterial small subunit ribosomal RNA
Source: RNAcentral
GACGAACGCUGGCGGCGUGCUUAACACAUGCAAGUCGAACGGAAAGGCCCUGCUUGCAGGGUGCUCGAGUGGCGAACGGGUGAGUAACACGUGUGUGAUCUGCCCCUUACUUUGGGAUAAGCCUGGGAAACUGGGUCUAAUACUGGAUAGGACCAUGCUGGAGGUGGGGUGGUGGAACGAUUAGUUUCGGUUAGGGAUGAGGUAGCGGCCUAUCAGCGUGUUGGUGGGGUAUUGGCCUACCAAGGCGUCGACGGGUAGCCGUCUUGAGAGGGUGGGCGGCCGAAUUGGGACUCAGGGACGGAGACGCCGCCUACGCGCGGAAGCAGUGGAGAAGUUUGGAAAAUGGGAGCAAGGCUGAUGCCGUGACGCCGCGUGGGGGAGGAAGGGCUUAAGGUUUUAGGCUCCUAUCACCCAUGACGAAGCCCUUGUGGUGACGGUACUGGGAGAAGAAGCUCCGGCUAACUACGUG